This 240-nucleotide unclassified non-coding RNA is filed under the name soil metagenome. Its description in RNAcentral is "partial contains 5.8S ribosomal RNA, internal transcribed spacer 2, and large subunit ribosomal RNA". The record is from RNAcentral.
AAGACUAUAGACCUGCGGAGUACCUGCGGAGGGAUCAUUGCUGGAAGGCGAGCCUAGCUCGCAUCUCCAAAACCCUUUGUGAACUUAUACCUUUAAUCGUUGCCUCGGCGUAGGCCGCAAGCCCUCGUGCUUGCCCUCUGGGCCCUCCCGUAGGGACAGAGGAGCAGUCCGCCGGUGGCCUACCAAACUCUUGUUUGUUAACUGUAUCUUUUGAGUUAUUAACAACAAUAAAUCAAAACU